UACGCAGGGGGCAAGCGUUGUCCGGAUUUAUUGGGCGUAAAGAGCGUGUAGGCGGUCAGGUAGGUCGGUUGUGAAAACUGGAGGCUCAACCUUCAGAGGUCGACCGAAACCCCCUGGCUAGAGUCCGGGAGAGGAGAGUGGAAUUCCUGGUGUAGCGGUGAAAUGCGCAGAUAUCAGGAAGAACACCCGUGGCGAAAGCGGCUCUCUGGAACGGUACUGACGCUGAGACGCGAAAGCGUGGGGAGCGAACAGG
This 253-nucleotide ribosomal RNA is filed under the name uncultured bacterium. Its description in RNAcentral is "partial 16S ribosomal RNA". It matches the Rfam family "Bacterial small subunit ribosomal RNA", at positions 524 to 776 of the family's 1533-position model. The record is from RNAcentral.